Molecule: ribosomal RNA, 253 nt
Filed under: uncultured bacterium
Lineage: Bacteria
Description: partial 16S ribosomal RNA
Rfam family: Bacterial small subunit ribosomal RNA
Source: RNAcentral
UACGUAGGUGGCAAGCGUUAUCCGGAUUUAUUGGGCGUAAAGGGAACGCAGGCGGCUUUGCAAGUCUGAUGUGAAAGGCCGGGGCUCAACCCCGGGACUGCAUUGGAAACUGUAAAGCUAGAGUGCCGGAGAGGUAAGCGGAAUUCCUAGUGUAGCGGUGAAAUGCGUAGAUAUUAGGAGGAACACCAGUGGCGAAGGCGGCUUACUGGACGGCAACUGACGCUGAGGCUCGAAAGCGUGGGGAGCAAACAGG